GUAAUGCCGGUGAAGAUGCCGGAUACCUGCGACAGGACGGAAAGACCCCAUGGAGCUUUACUGUAGCUUGACAUUGGGUCUUGGUACUACAUGUACAGGAUAGGUGGGAGGCUUUGAAACCAGGACGACAGUUUUGGCGGAGCCAUCCUUGGGAUACCACCCUUGUAGUACUGGGACUCUAACCAUAGGCCAUGAAUCUGGUCUUGGGACACUGUCAGGUGGGCAGUUUGACUGGGGCGGUCGCCUCCCAAAAGG
Molecule: ribosomal RNA, 255 nt
Filed under: Clostridioides difficile
Lineage: Bacteria; Bacillati; Bacillota; Clostridia; Peptostreptococcales; Peptostreptococcaceae
Description: partial 23S ribosomal RNA
Rfam family: Bacterial large subunit ribosomal RNA
Source: RNAcentral